This 253-nucleotide ribosomal RNA is filed under the name uncultured bacterium. Its description in RNAcentral is "partial 16S ribosomal RNA". It matches the Rfam family "Bacterial small subunit ribosomal RNA", at positions 524 to 776 of the family's 1533-position model. The record is from RNAcentral.
UACAGAGGGGGCAAGCGUUGUUCGGAAUUACUGGGCGUAAAGGGCGCGUAGGCGGCCUGCUAAGUCGAACGUGAAAUCCCCGGGCUCAACCCGGGAACUGCGUCCGAUACUGGUUGGCUUGAAUCCGGGAGAGGGAUGCGGAAUUGCAGGUGUAGCGGUGAAAUGCGUAGAUAUCUGCAGGAACACCCGUGGCGAAAGCGGCGCGCUGGACCGCUACUGACGCUGAGGAACGAAAGCUAGGGGAGCAAACAGG